GACGGAGGAUGCAGGCGUUAUCCGGAAUGAUUGGGCGUAAAGCGUCCGCAGGUGGCAGUUCAAGUCUGCUGUCAAAGACCGGGGCUUAACUUCGGAAAGGCAGUGGAAACUGAACAGCUAGAGUAUGGUAGGGGCAGAGGGAAUUCCUGGUGUAGCGGUGAAAUGCGUAGAGAUCAGGAAGAACACCGGUGGCGAAGGCGGUCUGCUGGGGUAAUGCUGACACUGAUGCGCGACAGCGUGGGGAGCAAACAGG
This 253-nucleotide ribosomal RNA is filed under the name uncultured bacterium. RNAcentral describes it as "partial 16S ribosomal RNA". It matches the Rfam family "Bacterial small subunit ribosomal RNA", at positions 524 to 776 of the family's 1533-position model. The record is from RNAcentral.